GGUUAUGGCUCAGUGGUAGAGUGCUUGCCUCAUACGUUCAGGUCCCUGUGUUCGAUCCUCAGCACCA
RNAcentral lists this transfer RNA (67 nucleotides) under Marmota monax (woodchuck). RNAcentral's name for it is "tRNA.Met". Lineage: Eukaryota; Metazoa; Chordata; Mammalia; Rodentia; Sciuridae. The record is from RNAcentral.